RNAcentral lists this ribosomal RNA (252 nucleotides) under uncultured bacterium. RNAcentral's name for it is "partial 16S ribosomal RNA". It matches the Rfam family "Bacterial small subunit ribosomal RNA", at positions 524 to 776 of the family's 1533-position model. The record is from RNAcentral.
UACAGAGGUCUCAAGCGUUGUUCGGAUUCAUUGGGCGCAAAGGGUGCGUAGGCGGCGCGGUAAGUCGGGUGUGAAAUCUCGGGGCUUAACUCCGAAACUGCAUUCGAUACUGCCGUGCUUGAGGACUGGAGAGGAGACUGGAAUUUACGGUGUAGCGGUGAAAUGCGUAGAUAUCGUAAGGAAGACCAGUGGCGAAGGCGGGUCUCUGGACAGUUCUGACGCUGAGGAGCGAAAGCGUGGGGAGCAAACAGG